GACUCAAUAGACUAAUCAAACUUUCAUCUAUAAUUUCUGAAGACCCAUCUGUGCUACAAGAGUCAUGGCACAGUUUGUGAGCAAUUUUGCUGAACCAGGAGAUCCUGAGUAUGCUCCUCCAGUCCAAAAGGGUGAAACUCCGGCCAAGCUGGUUUUUUGUCCCAAGGCGACCUGGCAAAUUCAAGAAUGGAGAUUCUAGUGCAGAGGAGUUGGCCUCAGCUACCCAGGUCCAGGGUCCAUACAUGCCCAUCA
Molecule: long non-coding RNA, 252 nt
Organism: Magnolia sinica
Lineage: Eukaryota; Viridiplantae; Streptophyta; Magnoliopsida; Magnoliales; Magnoliaceae
Exons: 3
Source: RefSeq, a predicted model, not a curated record